CCGGGGCUUCGCGCGAGAGGACGCCUCUUCCCUCCGCGCCGCAACUCAAGUGCCCGACCCUAUGCCCAAGGAACCAAUUUACUAUUGGAGAAAAAGGACUCUAUGGAAUUAUUACAUAUAUCUAUUUCUUUCCACAACACUAUCGUCUGUGUAAUCAGAGGUUAAAAUAAUUUUUCUUCAGGCAAAUUAUAUUAGGUCUCCAGUGUCAUGUUUAAAAUAAAACGAGUUCGUACUAUGCUGCGCUUGGCAAAACGCAGGUUGCAGAGGAGGCUAACUAUUGAUGACAUUAGCACAGAUGUCUCUUUUUUAUAUCCCCCUCCAGAUGGUGGCUGGGGCUGGGUUGUAGUGCUGGCAGCCUUUGUUCAUUCCAUGUUGGUCACUGGAUUCCACAAUGCUUUUGGUGUUUAUAUGAUGUCUCUUCUUGAGACUUUUCAGUCUAGUAACUCUC
Molecule: long non-coding RNA, 448 nt
Organism: Eublepharis macularius
Lineage: Eukaryota; Metazoa; Chordata; Lepidosauria; Squamata; Eublepharidae
Exons: 3
Source: RefSeq, a predicted model, not a curated record